This 305-nucleotide non-coding RNA is filed under the name Pongo abelii (Sumatran orangutan). Lineage: Eukaryota; Metazoa; Chordata; Mammalia; Primates; Hominidae. The record is from RNAcentral.
GAGCUGGGUGGAGCUUAAGAGGAAUUAAACUUUCGCCCUGCGUCUCGUCCAGCCUAGGUUCCACCCUUUUCUGGCAACCUGAGUAUCAACCUAUUUCACACCCCGCUACUCCUGAGUGCCACACACCGGCUUCCUCCCAGUCCCUCAUCUGAGAACUCAUGAAGCCACCUGGAAUCCCUUUCUGCUUUGCCUGGCUCAUUCCAUCUCAAUUUCAGAUCUUCGCUACAGGUCAGCUCCAAGGAGGAGCUCUCAAAACCUAGCUCUCAAAACCUAGCUCUUUUCCUUCAGAGCACUGGCCUCCAAUU